RNAcentral lists this long non-coding RNA (1308 nucleotides) under Phoenix dactylifera (date palm). Its description in RNAcentral is "long non-coding RNA (PDAC_LNC004982)". The record is from RNAcentral. Lineage: Eukaryota; Viridiplantae; Streptophyta; Magnoliopsida; Arecales; Arecaceae.
UGUGCUCUUCUCUCCCGCCAACGCCUCAUACUCAUACACCCCCUUUCCCCCCACCCCCACUCUCUCCGGCGUGUCCUCUUCUCUCCGCUUCACACCCUCGACGCACAGCAGGACCAGAAACUCAUGUUCGGCCUCCUCUUCUCCCUCCGCUCCUUCACAACCAAGGGUCCAAGUCCCCCCCCCCCCCCGCGGUUGCUCCCGUCAAGAUCUUGUUUACGGACUCGGGAGGAAACGAGAAAAGGAUCCAAAAAUUCUAAAGAUUUGGGAAGCUUCACAAGAUUUGCCUGCCUGUUGUUGAGGUAUUGUCUCCUCUUUCUAUUUUUGAAAAAAAAAAUCGCAUAAAUAAGCCGUGAUUUGAUCUUUAUUUUCUAAUCGUUGCGAUUUUCCUAUCCUUUUUGGAGAUGUGGUCUUCCCCCUCCGUUUUUCUCCUCUCCUAUUCAAUUAAGUUGUCCGUGCCCUAUUUUCCUUUUUCAUUGUUCGGGGAAAACCAAGAUUUGUUCUUCGUGUCGUUUUCUUUUUAUUUGUUCUUCUUUUAUGUUAUUUGUAAAUUUAUUCCGCACUGUUUGUAUCUUCUAACAUUAGGUCUCAAGUUUUUUUUUUAAAUUUUUGGGUUAUCUUAUGCUAUUCAGCGAUUUUCAUUUAUGUUCGAGCAUUGACAUUGGCUACUUUUUAAUUCCACUUAGGAUGCUUAUCUUUAGCUUAUUCAGAUAUUUUUGGGAAAUUUUUUAGGCUUUCCUUUUCUUAAUGUGUCGGGGUUUGAAUCUGUACAUAUCUUUGUGUGAUAUUGUUAUUUGAUGUACUAUGUGCAUAGAAAAGAUGAAAGAAAAGAUCUAUAUGAACACGUUUAAGCUGAUAUUCAAAGCUUUCUGUUAAAAUUGCGGGAUUUUAUUCUCCCUCUUCCACUCCCCCUUCCAGGUGGGUGUUUGUAAUUCAUACUUUUAGGUAUUUGCAUAUAUUCACAUGGUUUUUUUCUGGAUUCUUGUUAGGUAGAGACUGGUAAGUAAAGCUGUUUUCUGGAUUCUUGUUAGGUAGAUAGAUUUUAAAGCCAUGGUGAAAGAAACCGAGUAUUAUGAUACUUUGGGUGUGAAUGUUGAUGCAUCUGCUGCUGAGAUAAAGAAGGCCUACUACAUCAAGGUAACAAAACAUUCCAAACGGGCCGGCCCAGGUUAGGGCCCAACUGGGCCGGCCCAAAUGGGCUCGGGCCGGGCUCGGGCCGGGUCGGGCCUUGUUCCUUAAAAAUUUUUCGGGCCCCGGCCCGGCCCGAAGCCCGGAAAAAAAAUUCGGGCCGGGCUCGGGUAGGGGUUUGGC